RNAcentral lists this unclassified non-coding RNA (148 nucleotides) under uncultured Capnodiales. Its description in RNAcentral is "sequence contains ITS1". Lineage: Eukaryota; Fungi; Ascomycota; Dothideomycetes; Capnodiales. The record is from RNAcentral.
CCGAGCGAGGGCCCUGGCCCGACCUCCAACCCUUUGUUGACCCAACACCAGUUGCCUCGGGGGCGACCCGGACGCCGACGGCGUCGGGCCUCCCGACGGACCCCUCCAACUCUGUGUCCAUACGUCGGAGUGAACAGCGAAUCAAUCA